AGGACGAACGCUGGCGGCGUGCUUAACACAUGCAAGUCGAGCGGAGAGGCCCUUCGGGGUACUCGAGCGGCGAACGGGUGAGUAACACGUGAGUAAUCUGCCCCUAGCUCUGGGAUAGCUCCGGGAAACCGGGAUUAAUACCGGAUACGACCACCUUAGACAUCUUUUGUGGUGGAAAGAAUUUCGGCUAGGGAUGAGCUCGCGGCCUAUCAGCUUGUUGGUGGGUAACGCCUACCAAGGCGACGACGGGUA
RNAcentral lists this ribosomal RNA (252 nucleotides) under uncultured bacterium. RNAcentral describes it as "partial small subunit ribosomal RNA". It matches the Rfam family "Bacterial small subunit ribosomal RNA", at positions 26 to 285 of the family's 1533-position model. The record is from RNAcentral.